GAUGAACGCUGGCGGCGUGCCUAACACAUGCAAGUCGAACGAAGAGCUUUAUUUCAUUUCCUUCGGGCGUGAGUAUUUUAUGACUGAGUGACGGACGGGUAAGUAACGCAUAGGUCAGCUGCCUCUUAGAGAGGGCUGACAGAUGGACACGGAUGCUAUAACCGCAUAAGGUCACGGCGUCGAAUAUGGCAUUGCUAACAACUCCGGUGGGAUAAGAUGUACCUUCGUUGGAUUGGAUGGUAGGUGAGGUAACGGCCCACCAAGGCGACGAUACAUAGCCGAGCUGAGAGGGUGACCCGCGACAUCUGGACUGAGACACAGUCGGGAAUCUUCCGGGAUGCAGGAGUGGCGAAUAGUGCACAGCGGGGGAAGGGCUGAUGGAGCGAGGCCGCGUGAGCGAAGAAGUAUUUCGAUAUGUAAAGCUCUAUCAGCAGUGAAGAUAUUGACGGUACCUGACCAAGAAGCACCGGCUAAAUACGUG
RNAcentral lists this ribosomal RNA (481 nucleotides) under uncultured bacterium. Its description in RNAcentral is "partial 16S ribosomal RNA". It matches the Rfam family "Bacterial small subunit ribosomal RNA", at positions 28 to 507 of the family's 1533-position model. The record is from RNAcentral.